Long non-coding RNA from Megalobrama amblycephala (Wuchang bream), 907 nucleotides. RefSeq lists it as uncharacterized. The transcript has 4 exons. Lineage: Eukaryota; Metazoa; Chordata; Actinopteri; Cypriniformes; Xenocyprididae. The record is from RefSeq and is a predicted model, not a curated record.
CUGGGAGUGUGCGUGCUCAGGAACAGCCGGUGCAGGCCGCGUUGGCACAGAUCUCACAGGGGUCUAUAGGACUGAUGAUUUUCACUGUUGACAAAGCAUUAAAAAGGAUGAUUGGCAUUGCAGACACGCUCACAGGUGACAACAGACACUCCAACAUGCUCGUAACACAACACACGAAUCUCACGUUUAUCAGGAACAUAUUGACGUGAGGCAUAAAGAGAUGCGCCGUGAGCAGUGAGAAGAAAUCAGGACAGUGGGAAACAUAAAUGUGCUCUAAAUUAUAAUUGUGCAGUGGGUGGUGGUGCAUGACAGAUUAGGGUUCACCAUCUGCCCAGCAGAGGACAUCACCAGGCCCACUCCAGACCCAGAGCCCAGCCAGCCAUCACCUCGCAGCACGGACAUGAUGCCAGAGCCCACCACAGACAGAGAGCCAGAGCCUGCCACGAUGGAUAUGUCAGACAAGAGGACUGAGCCCAUCAUGGCCCUGGAGCCCGAGCCCCACAAAUUGUCUGACCAGGUGUGUGAGCAGACAACAUCAUGUGUCGCCGUGGAAUUACGUGGUACGAGGGAAUGGAGGAAGACCCCGCCCACACUCCAAUUGUGUAUUUCUGUUUUUACGUGCAUCAUUCAUUGCAAAUGUAAAUGUUUUUUUUACAUAAACUAAUGUUAAACAAAUUGCAAAUGGUCCAUAUAAGAUGAUGCAGAUAAAAGGGAUGAGCAUGAAGACCAUUUACAAUGAUUUUCAGUGAAGUUCAUUUCUAAUCUAAUUUUAUUGAUCAUGUGAGAUGCCCUUUGGGGAAUGGAAGUCCAAAUAAGGGAUAAAAUUUGUUUGCUAUAAAAUUCAUAUGAUUAAACUCUCACCUGUCUUCAUGAUGCUUGACUUCAGGCUUCUAUGGGGCAGAUCUUG